UUUUGGACUCAGCCCACUUGCAUCCAGGUGAUUAAAAAGCUUCACUGCUCACACAAAGUCUGUUUGGUGGUCUCUUCACAUGGACGUGCGUGAAAUUUGGUGCCAUGACUCGGAUCGGGGGACCUCCCUUGGGAGAUUAAUCCCCUGUCCUCCUGCUCUUUGCUCCCUGAGAAAGAUCCACCUACGACCUCAGGUCCUCAGACCAACCAGCCCAAGGAACAUCACACCAAUUUUAAAUGGGAAGACAGGAAUGUCAGGCCUCUGGGCGCAAGCUAAGCCAUCAUAUUUCCUGUGACCUGCACGUGUACAUCCAGAUGGCCUGAAGUAACUGAAGAAUCACAAAAGAAGGGAAAAAGGCCAGUUCCUGCCUUAACUGAUGACAUUACCUUGUGAAAUUCCUUCUCCUGGCUCAGAAGCUCCCCCACUGAGAACCUUGUGACCUCCGCCCCUGCCCCCAGGUGAUUAAAAAGCUUUAUUGCUCACACGAAGCCUGUUUGGUGGUCUCUUCACAUGGAUGCAUGUGAAAGUUUAGAUGACCUUUUGGAAUUCUGACUUGAACUUGCGUAUUGUCUCUUAUGAGAGAAGAAACCUUUGAAAAGUGGCAUGUAUUUUGGUCUGAGAGGAAAAGCGUAAUGGGAUACAGGUUGGACACACUAAAUUCAUUGAACUUCAAUUCAAAAGCUCAAUUAUAUAGCUUGUAUAUAUUGAUUUAUUGUUAGGUAAAAAAUGGAGAAAAAGUAAAGGCAUCAAAAUGGAGAUGUCAUUGAAGUCAUAUAGCAGUUUGAGUGGGAGUUCUUUAUCAAUCAAAGUUUCACAGAAUAAAAGAUUAUGAUUGGAGAUUUGGAAGUUUGAGUUAGUAGUCUCAGAGGUGUGAUAAUUUUGAGAUGACUUGGUUCAUGGCUUAUCAUUGACCCUCAGUAUAAAUUUGAUGAUGUUAAUUAGUGAAAGAAUGUAAAAGUGAGAAGAAACUUGGCAGAAUUUUGAGCAAUUACAACCUAAAAUUGAUAAUAGAGGAG
RNAcentral lists this long non-coding RNA (1016 nucleotides) under Homo sapiens (human). Its description in RNAcentral is "HSALNT0056862". The record is from RNAcentral. Lineage: Eukaryota; Metazoa; Chordata; Mammalia; Primates; Hominidae.